This 753-nucleotide ribosomal RNA is filed under the name uncultured fungus. RNAcentral describes it as "SSU rRNA". It matches the Rfam family "Eukaryotic small subunit ribosomal RNA", at positions 804 to 1591 of the family's 1831-position model. Lineage: Eukaryota; Fungi. The record is from RNAcentral.
UUAGCAUGGAAUAAUGGAAUAGGACAAUGGUUCUAUUUUGUUGGUUAUAAGCCAUCGUAAUGAUUAAUAGGGACGGUCGGGGGCAUCAGUAUUCAGUAGUCAGAGGUGAAAUUCUUAGAUUUACUGAAGACUAACUACUGCGAAAGCAUUUGCCAAGGACGUUUUCAUUAAUCAAGAACGAAAGUUAGGGGAUCGAAGAUGAUCAGAUACCGUCGUAGUCUUAACCAUAAACUAUGCCGACUAGGGAUCGGGCGCGCUCACUACAGACGCGCUCGGCACCUUACGAGAAAUCAAAGUUUUUGGGUUCUGGGGGGAGUAUGGUCGCAAGGCUGAAACUUAAAGGAAUUGACGGAAGGGCACCACCAGGAGUGGAGCCUGCGGCUUAAUUUGACUCAACACGGGGAAACUCACCAGGUCCAGACACAAUAAGGAUUGACAGAUUGAGAGCUCUUUCUUGAUUUUGUGGGUGGUGGUGCAUGGCCGUUCUUAGUUGGUGGAGUGAUUUGUCUGCUUAAUUGCGAUAACGAACGAGACCUUGGCCUCUAACUAGGGGGCGCAGCGGUAGCUACGCGACCUUCUUAGGGGGACUAUUGAUGUAAGUCGAUGGAAGUUCGAGGCAAUAACAGGUCUGUGAUGCCCUUAGACGUUCUGGGCCGCACGCGCGCUACACUGACGGAGGCAGCGAGUUGACCUUUGCCGAGAGGCAUGGGAAAUCUUAAAACUCCGUCGUGCUGGGGAUAGAGCAUUGCAAUA